UGGGAACAUGCCCAAAGGUACGGAACAACUCCGGGAAACUGGAGCUAAUACCGUAUGUGCCCGAAAGGGGAAAGAUUCAUCGCCUUUGGAUCGGCCCGCGUCUGAUUAGCUAGUUGGCGGGGUAAUGGCCCACCAAGGCAGCGAUCAGUAGCUGGUCUGAGAGGAUGAUCAGCCACACUGGGACUGAGACACGGCCCAGACUCCUACGGGAGGCAG
This 216-nucleotide ribosomal RNA is filed under the name uncultured bacterium. RNAcentral describes it as "partial 16S ribosomal RNA". It matches the Rfam family "Bacterial small subunit ribosomal RNA", at positions 118 to 351 of the family's 1533-position model. The record is from RNAcentral.